This 584-nucleotide long non-coding RNA is filed under the name Nothobranchius furzeri (turquoise killifish). Its description in RNAcentral is "lncRNA (ENSNFUG00015012453.1)". The record is from RNAcentral. Lineage: Eukaryota; Metazoa; Chordata; Actinopteri; Cyprinodontiformes; Nothobranchiidae.
AGAUGACAGGAGACUCCAGUUUGCUGGCUGCAGUCCUGACUGUGGUGUCGGUCAUAUCGCUGAGUCUGCUUUCCCUUCUGUGUUUGCGAUGCAAAAAGAAAUCCAAAAUCAUGCUGGAGUCUCAAAUAUAUGACCCACAAAUUUUCCAACGAGGCGGGAGUAAAUUUGCAGUUAUCCGUUCAAAAACAGUCACCAGAGGAAAUCUGAUCUCCUCAGACACAGAUGAGACUCUGGAGCAGUCUGCCUUCCAAGACGGUGAAACGGAGGAACAGGGCGACUAUCUGAACAUUACAGUACCAACAGUCAGCUCCAACCUGGAACAUGAUUAUGUAGCUCCAAUCGCUGUGGCUUUGUAUGAAAAUCAGAAGAACAGAACACUUGGUGGGUAUUUCGGCACGUUUUCUAGUCCUAACUUGGUUUGUUCCGGUUGUUUACAACAUGUGUUUGUUUUAGAUGAUGAACAAACUCCCGGCAUUUAUGGAAAUGUUUUCCUGUCGCUGUCAAUAGAAGAAGGUAGAUCCAGUUUUCUUAUUUCUGAUUUCUCAAUAAGAAAAGUUCUUAUUCAAAUAUUAAAACUUUAUUAA